GCUUGCUUGAGCGGAAAGUGGCGAAAGGGUGAGUAACGCGUGAGUAAGCUGCCCCCAAGUUUGGAAUAAUUCUCCGAAAGGAGGACUAAUACCGGAUAAUGUUAAUUUACUGCAUGGUGAGUUAACUAAAGAUUUAUCGCUUGGGGAUGUGCUCGCGGUUCCAUUAGCUUGUUGGUAGGGGGUAACGGCCUACCAAGGGCUAUGAAACGGGAUAGGUGGGGUCUGAGAGGGGAUGGUCAACCCCACACUGGGGGACUGAAAGACACUGGCCCAAGGACUCCUACCGGGGAGGCUGGCCAGUCGGGAAUCUUUCCGCAAUGGGCGAAAGCCUGGACGGAGCAAUGCCGCGUGUAGGAUGAAGGCCCUUGGGUCGUAAACUACUGUCACCGGGGAUGAAUAAUGACAGUACCCGGAGAGGAAGCCACGGCUAACUACGUGCCAGCAGCCGCGGUAAUACGUAGGUGGCGAGCGUUGUUCGGAUUUAUUGGGCGUAAAGGGUUCGUAGGUGGUUUAUCAAGUUUGAUGUGAAAUCCCGAGGCUCAACCUCGGAACUGCAUUGAAAACUGGUAGACUUGAGGAUCGGAGAGGAAAGCGGAAUUUCAGGUGUAGCGGUGGAAUGCGUAGAUAUCUGAAAGAACACCGACAGCGAAGGCAGCUUUCUGGACGAUUCCUGACACUGAGGGACGAAAGCGUGGGUAGCGAACAGGAUUAGAUACCCUGGUAGUCCACGCCGUAAACGUUGUGUGCUUGGCUUGGGGGGAUUCAACCCCCUCCGAGUCGGAGCUAACGCAUUAAGCACACCGCCUGGGGACUACGGCCGCAAGGCUAAAACUCAAAGGAAUUGACGGGGGCCCGCACAAGCGGUGGAGCAUGUGGCUUAAUUCGAGGCAACGCGAAGAACCUUACCUGGACUUGACAUAUAAUUGACAGUCCGUGAAAGCGGAUUUUCCUUCGGGACAGUUAUACAGGUGCUGCAUGGCUGUCGUCAGCUCGUGUCGUUGAGAUGUUCGGUUAAGUCCGGCAACGAGCGCAACCCGUGUCAUUAGUUGCUACCAGGUUAUGCUGGGCACUCUAAUGAGACUGCCCGUGUUAAGCGGGAGGAAGGCGCGGAUGACGUCAAGUCAGUAUGGCCCUUAUGUCCAGGGCUGCACACGUGCUACAAUGGUCGGUACAAUGUGACGCAAUACCGCGAGGUGGAGCAAAUCACCAAAACCGGCCCCAGUUCAGAUUGUAGUCUGCAACUCGACUACAUGAAGUCAGAAUCGCUAGUAAAGGCGUAUCAGCUAUAGCGCCUUGAAUACGUUCCCGGGCCUUGUACACACCGCCCGUCACAUCAUGGAAGCUGUUUGCACCCGAAGUCGUUAACCCAACCGGA
Molecule: ribosomal RNA, 1375 nt
Filed under: uncultured Lentisphaerota bacterium
Lineage: Bacteria; Pseudomonadati; Lentisphaerota
Description: bacterial SSU rRNA
Rfam family: Bacterial small subunit ribosomal RNA
Source: RNAcentral